UAACGGAUAUUGGGCAAUGGGCGCAAGCCUGACCCAGCAAUGCCGCGUGCAGGAGGAAGCCCUUCGGGGUGUAAACUGCUGUCAGGGGUUCGCAAGCAACGGGUGUGAAUAGCACCCCGCGUUGAGCAGCCCCAGAGGAAGCCUCGACUAACUCUGUGCCAGCAGUCGCGGUAAGACAGAGGAGGCAAGCGUUGUUCGGAAUCACUGGGCUUAAAGCGGGUGUAGGCGGUUUGUCAAGUGUCCUGUGAAAGCCCACGGCUCAACCGUGGAAAUGCAGGGCAAACUGGCAGGCUUGAGGUCGGUAGGGGUGCCUGGAACUCUAGGUGGAGCGGUGAAAUGCGUAGAUAUCUAGAGGAACGCCGGAGGCGAAAGCGGGGCACUGGGCCGAUUCUGACGCUGAGACCCGAAAGCGUGGGGAGCAAACA
RNAcentral lists this ribosomal RNA (425 nucleotides) under uncultured bacterium. RNAcentral describes it as "bacterial SSU rRNA". It matches the Rfam family "Bacterial small subunit ribosomal RNA", at positions 355 to 774 of the family's 1533-position model. The record is from RNAcentral.